Molecule: ribosomal RNA, 896 nt
Filed under: uncultured bacterium
Lineage: Bacteria
Description: bacterial SSU rRNA
Rfam family: Bacterial small subunit ribosomal RNA
Source: RNAcentral
AGAGUUUGAUCCUGGCUCAGGAUGAACGCUGGCGGCGUGCCUAAUACAUGCAAGUCGGACGAAUCUCUUUUAGAGAUGAGUGGCGAACGGGUGAGUAAUACAUAGGUAACCUGCCCCUGUGCGGGGGAUAACAGGAGGAAACUCCUGCUAAUACCGCAUAGCCAUGAGCACCGCAUGGAGCUCAUGCCAAAUAUCCUUUCGGGGACAGCGCAGGGAUGGACCUAUGGCGCAUUAGCUGGUUGGCGGGGCAACGGCCCACCAAGGCAACGAUGCGUAGCCGGCCUGAGAGGGCGGACGGCCACAUUGGGACUGAGACACGGCCCAGACUCCUACGGGAGGCAGCAGUAGGGAAUUUUCGGCAAUGGGGGAAACCCUGACCGAGCAACGCCGCGUGAGCGAAGAAGGCCUUCGGGUCGUAAAGCUCUGUUGUAAAGGAAGAACGGCGCAUACAGGAAAUGGUAUGCGAGUGACGGUACUUUACCAGAAAGCCACGGCUAACUACGUGCCAGCAGCCGCGGUAAUACGUAGGUGGCGAGCGUUAUCCGGAAUCAUUGGGCGUAAAGAGGGAGCAGGCGGCCGCAAGGGUCUGUGGUGAAAGACCGAAGCUAAACUUCGGUAAGCCAUGGAAACCGGGCGGCUAGAGUGCGGAAGAGGAUCGUGGAAUUCCAUGUGUAGCGGUGAAAUGCGUAGAUAUAUGGAGGAACACCAGUGGCGAAGGCGACGGUCUGGGCCGCAACUGACGCUCAUUCCCGAAAGCGUGGGGAGCAAAUAGGAUUAGAUACCCUAGUAGUCCACGCCGUAAACGAUGGUCACUAAGUGUCGGGGGUCAAACCCCGGUGCUGCAGUCAACGCAAUAAGUGACCCGCCUGAGUAGUACGUUCGCAAGAAUGAAACUC